AUGAACGCUGGCGGCGUGCCUAAUACAUGCCAGUCGAGCGAACGGACGAGAAGCUUGCUUCUCUGAUGUUAGCGGCGGACGGGUGAGUAACACGUGGAUAACCUACCUAUAAGACUGGGGUAACUUCGGGAAACCGGAGCUAAUACCGGAUGAUAUUUUGAACCGCAUGGUUCAAAAGUGAAAGACGGUCUUGCUGUCACUUAUAGAUGGAUCCGCGCUGCAUUAGCUAGUUGGUAAGGUAACGGCUUACCAAGGCAACGAUGCAUAGCCGACCUGAGAGGGUGAUCGGCCACACUGGAACUGAGACACGGUCCAGACUCCUACGGGAGGCAGCAGUAGGGAAUCUUCCGCAAUGGGCGAAAGCCUGACGGAGCAACGCCGCGUGAGUGAUGAAGGUCUUCGGAUCGUAAAACUCUGUUAUUAGGGAAGAACAUAUGUGUAAGUAACUGUGCACAUCUUGACGGUACCUAAUCAGAAAGCCACGGCUAACUACGUG
This 496-nucleotide ribosomal RNA is filed under the name uncultured bacterium. RNAcentral's name for it is "partial 16S ribosomal RNA". It matches the Rfam family "Bacterial small subunit ribosomal RNA", at positions 29 to 507 of the family's 1533-position model. The record is from RNAcentral.